AAGUUAGGCACCUCCCAUUUUCUUCAACAAAGUUGUCAACAAAGUUAGGCACCUCCCAUUUUCUUCAUUGUUUUUCUUUAAUAUGAGCCCCACAUAGUAUUGGGUAUCCCAUUAACCUAUUGUUUCUUCAUGUUCCAAUUGUCUCUUCUCUUCUUCUUACAGAUUUAUUCAUAUAUAUUUUUUCUUAUUGGUUACCCAGUUUCAGUUAAUAUAACUGAGUUGUGUGGAUCAAAAAUAUUGUGGAUUAGUGUUGUUUUGUACUAGGAUCAGGUUUUUUCUCAUGUUCCCUUCAAGACCUGUUUGGCAAAAUUUCCCCGUGAAAAGUAGACCUGUUUGUGACGAAGAUAAAUGGGGUUCAAGACACAAGAGGCAAUUUUUUUCUUUGAAACGAUCAUUGCUAGAUUAAAACAGCUGAGUUAUUUGCUCAGCCCCUCAUUGUUGUGACCUUGUGUAUACUUCAACCAAUAUCCAAAGAAGUUGUUAGCAUCCGAUUCUCACUUGAAAAAGGGGACCUAUCCAAAGUGAGUGCUGAAAAGAGCAGUUUGACGGUUUUAUAUGACCAAUGAAACUGCACCAACACUAUGGGGUGGCUUGAAAGUCUACCGAUACAAUGGCAAGUACACCGAGCAUCGGACAAUGGUUGAUGCUUCAUGCAACAUUGAUAUAGAAGAUGCUAAAUUCGUGGAGUUCAAUCCAUAGCAAUAUGGAAAAUUGACCGAGGAAUAAGGCUGAUACUAAAUUUUAGUAUGCACAUUUGGAUGUUGUGGUUGUGGGCUGACCUCCCUGUGUAAAAGGAAUAGUUGUUUGUGUAAUAUGUACAUUAUAGCGCA
Molecule: non-coding RNA, 830 nt
Organism: Nicotiana tabacum (common tobacco)
Lineage: Eukaryota; Viridiplantae; Streptophyta; Magnoliopsida; Solanales; Solanaceae
Source: RefSeq, a predicted model, not a curated record